This 483-nucleotide ribosomal RNA is filed under the name uncultured bacterium. RNAcentral's name for it is "bacterial SSU rRNA". It matches the Rfam family "Bacterial small subunit ribosomal RNA", at positions 9 to 538 of the family's 1533-position model. The record is from RNAcentral.
GAGUUUGAUCAUGGCUCAGAAUGAACGCUGGCGGCAUGCCUAACACAUGCAAGUCGAACGAAGGCUUCGGCCUUAGUGGCGCACGGGUGCGUAACGCGUGGGAAUCUGCCCUCAGGUUCGGAAUAACAGCGAGAAAUUGCUGCUAAUACCGGAUGAUAUCGCGAGAUCAAAGAUUUAUCGCCUGAGGAUGAGCCCGCGUAGGAUUAGCUAGUUGGUGUGGUAAAGGCGCACCAAGGCGACGAUCCUUAGCUGGUCUGAGAGGAUGAUCAGCCACACUGGGACUGAGACACGGCCCAGACUCCUACGGGAGGCAGCAGUGGGGAAUAUUGGACAAUGGGCGAAAGCCUGAUCCAGCAAUGCCGCGUGAGUGAUGAAGGCCUUAGGGUUGUAAAGCUCUUUUACCCGGGAUGAUAAUGACAGUACCGGGAGAAUAAGCUCCGGCUAACUCCGUGCCAGCAGCCGCGGUACCGAGCUGGCGAUCAG